GACGAUCGGUAGCCGGACUGAGAGGUUGAUCGGCCACAUUGGGACUGAGACACGGCCCAGACUCCUACGGGAGGCAGCAGUGGGGGAUAUUGCACAAUGGAGGAAACUCUGAUGCAGCGACGCCGCGUGAGGGAAGACGGUUUUCGGAUUGUAAACCUCUGUCUUCAGGGACGAAAUGAAUGACGGUACCUGAGGAGGAAGCUCCGGCUAACUAC
This 215-nucleotide ribosomal RNA is filed under the name uncultured bacterium. RNAcentral's name for it is "partial 16S ribosomal RNA". It matches the Rfam family "Bacterial small subunit ribosomal RNA", at positions 275 to 504 of the family's 1533-position model. The record is from RNAcentral.